Dreissena polymorpha is the source of this 1339-nucleotide long non-coding RNA. RefSeq lists it as uncharacterized. Lineage: Eukaryota; Metazoa; Mollusca; Bivalvia; Myida; Dreissenidae. The record is from RefSeq and is a predicted model, not a curated record. The transcript is spliced from 3 exons.
AUGGGGAAAUAUAUAAUACACUGAUAAGAGAUAACAUGAAGAGCGUAUCAAAUAUUCAAGCUACAUCACGCAGUCAUGUAUGCUGACACGGAUGUAUCACGAGAAAUGCCCAGAUCAAUGUCUUCAGUGAGGCUCGAGUGACAACUUCGCUACAUUACGAACUCCUUCCACAAUCGAAGAAUGUUUUUACGAUUCUGAAGUUGUGAAUAUCAACACGGUGUUGAGGAGCGCUUGAAUAUUCUUAUAAGAUAUCGAGCAUCCCAGUCAACGUUUCCUUUUUGGGCGUAAUACUUGACCUCAUCGAUGUUGAUGGGUAUGGGUAUCCGUCCUAUUGAUAAAACGGGGGUUUCUGUUGCCCCGAUGCAAUCAUGUAGCGCUCGAACUAAAUUGGUAAGGGCAAGAGCUGAUCCCUCCGCAAAUAUAACUGGCUCCCAUGAUGCAAGACUAAAACUACGAGAAACACGGCCAUAAGAUGCUACCGACAAAACAGAUAACCCAGUGAAAACAGCAAAAUUAUUUAAAGUGUAUACAAUACUGCAUUGGGGUUUUGUAAUCGGUGAGACGGUUAUUGUGUAGAUAUUGUACAGCAACUUUGAUCCAUCAUCUUUACAACCAUGAUGCUUUUUAUAGCCGUCGAUUUCAUCAUCUGGGCAUCCUCGAUGCAGGACGAUGAUGUCCGCGUUUGUUUUCUGAAAAGAACAAGCAAACAAGCAGUAAAUAAAAGUCCAUACACAAUUGAUCACAACAGCAUUAAAAGUACAUCGCAUACGGAUAUGUUAUAAGUAUUACCAGUGUGACAUUUUGACUAUUUAACAAGCAAAAGUUGAUAUUUUUAUUCAAAUGGUUAUUCUGCUCCCAAAAUAAUUAAAAUGUUCUUUUCAAACGAAAAAAAAAGUAACACCCAUAUUGUUCAAGCGGAUUACCUCUGCAACUCUCCGAAUAUAUUUGAUUCCUUUUUUCCGCCUUAAAGCACCAAUACGUUCUACAUUUAGGUUGACAAUUUUCAGGUUGCUGAACGAAGAGUUAGACAUGUUUACCUGAAAAACAAUCAUGAAGGUAUAUAGUGCGUUUUGGAGAAUUAAUGAAAUAAUACAUUUUUUAAGUUUUGAAAAAAAUCAUUAAAAUGCUUUAGUGAGAAUUAAGUUGUGAGUUACAAUCAAACGAUGAUGAAGUCUGGACAUGUAAUUGAACUGCUUUGUAAAAGAAGCCAUCCGUUGUAGUUUCAAUGCACAAGAUAGACUUCCAUAUUAUUUAAUACAAAUAUAAUUUGUCGCAAACGCUUGCUGCUCGUAUUAUGCUUUUACGUACUUGUGCAUUUAUUAAAAUACCGGUUAUUAUA